GAUGAACGCUGGCGGCGUGCUUAACACAUGCAAGUCGAACGGAAAGGCCCAAGCUUGCUUGGGUGCUCGAGUGGCGAACGGGUGAGUAACACGUGGGUGAUCUGCCCUGCACUUUGGGAUAAGCCUGGGAAACUGGGUCUAAUACCGGAUAGGACCAUCGUUUAGUGUCGGUGGUGGAAAGUUUUUCGGUGUGGGAUGAGCUCGCGGCCUAUCAGCUUGUUGGUGGGGUAAUGGCCUACCAAGGCGUCGACGGGUAGCCGGCCUGAGAGGGUGUACGGCCACAUUGGGACUGAGAUACGGCCCAGACUCCUACGGGAGGCAGCAGUGGGGAAUAUUGCACAAUGGGCGCAAGCCUGAUGCAGCGACGCCGCGUGGGGGAUGACGGCCUUCGGGUUGUAAACGCCUUUCGCCAAGGACGAAGCGUUUUGUGACGGUACUUGGAGAAGAAGCACCGGCUAACUACGUG
This 466-nucleotide ribosomal RNA is filed under the name uncultured bacterium. Its description in RNAcentral is "partial 16S ribosomal RNA". It matches the Rfam family "Bacterial small subunit ribosomal RNA", at positions 28 to 507 of the family's 1533-position model. The record is from RNAcentral.